Long non-coding RNA from Toxorhynchites rutilus septentrionalis, 1988 nucleotides. RefSeq lists it as uncharacterized. NCBI's taxonomy places the organism in Eukaryota, Metazoa, Arthropoda, Insecta, Diptera, Culicidae. The record is from RefSeq and is a predicted model, not a curated record. The transcript has 4 exons.
UUUCUCUAAUGGAAGCGAAGCAAUUUGGAGGUAAACAUUCGGUUUUUAUUAUGGGCCCUAUUAUAGAAAUCGAGGCGAUAAGAAUUUUGCUCGUUAGCUCUGUUUUACUAUUAUAGAAAUCGAGGAAUUCGAUAGCACCGAGCGAGUGAUAGCUAUCGUUGCAAGUGUCAGAACUUUUCGAGUUGUUUGGUUCGCUUGUUGCAUACCUUCAGAGAAUUAUUUUGUUUUGGUAUGCAUCCCUGAUAUUUUCCUUUGGGAAACAUUUCAGAAACGCUUCAAUAUAUGCAAUUUGCAACACAUGUUCGUUUGUUUUGAUCAGCAUUUGUUUUAUUGUGCUGCCAGAAUAGUGUAUACAAGCGCAUAUUUCAGUGGCUGAAAAUGAGUGGCGGAAGAAAAAAAACCAAUGCAUCUUGGUUGGUAGAAAGUUUGGAUUGACAUGAGGGGAAACGUAAAGAAAACACUAGCACACAACAAGCGAGAAUUUAGAGCAACAGAUGGUGGCCCCAAUACAAUAAAGCUAUUGACGCCGCUACAACAAGGAAUCGACGCUAAAAGAGAAUUACAUGUUGCAUUUCAUGAAUAACAAAAAUUGUUUUGCUAAAAAAAGUGAAAUUCGUGCGUGACUCUUUUCGGAAUUCCAUAGAUUGCAGUCAUGAAAAUACAUGAAUAAGUUCAUUUUCUAAUAAUUAUAUUUUUUGUAAAGCAAAUUGUUUCACGCUGUCGUUUUUAUUACACAUGCAUGCGAGCCUUACGCCUGUUAAGCUUUAUUCUUUGAGAGAAUAUCAAUUUACUCUAAAACAUAACCAUAUUAACACUUUUGGAAAUACAUUUUCAUAGCAGAUGCCUCAAAGAAAGAUUUGGCAUCCUUUCUAUAGUGCUUCGUGAAACAUUUCGAACUUGUUUCAAAAUAUUUCAUCACAACCGCUGACAUUCGAGCUUGCUAACGAAUCGAGCAGUUUUCCUCGAUUUCUAUAAUUCCAGAUUUUACUCGGUGUGAUAGUGAUAGUGAUUGUAUCGAAUCCUCGAUUCGAUUUCUAUAAUAGGGCCCUAUGAUUCAUUUUACCUAAAUAUUUUCCUUUUUCAGCCUGAAACCGUAGAAAUCCAUAGCAAAAGUUUCACACGACUAAGUAAGCGUUUAGAUAAACUAAAUAUCAGAGGCCAAAAACGGCGGAUGUCGCCGUGCACAAUUGAUUGAUGAUCCGAUUAUUGUUUGAUUUUUCCCCUUAUUCUAUUAUAAGCAGAUCGCAACCAACAGCAGCAAUGGAUCGCCUCCGCUCGAACUUGGAGCGUCACAUCAAGCAGUAACAUCUUUAAUUUUGGUCGUAUUGUCAGCACGGAGGAAAUCAUUAGAAGCGCGAUUGAAACAUUCGAUCGGCAAUCAAGUAAUCCGCCAAAGGAAGGAAGUAGACAAAGAUUUGAUGUUCCGCUGUCACAAGAUUAAAGCGACAAGCAGCUGCUGCUAACUUCCGGCUCGGCAUGUGGCUGAGAGGAGAAUUUCUUAUUAAAUUUAAAGAACAAGUACUAACAAUUUUGAUUUACAAUUAUCAAUCCGCAUGUGACUAAACUGAGAGAUUUUUUCACUAUGCAGCUUCCAUUGCGAUUUCCAGUAAAAAUAGGUAAAUGCUCAAUUAAUUUUUAAAAUAUUUAGCACUGUGUUACGCAAUUCGUUCUAUUUUGUUGCAUGUGUUAAACGUUCUAACGCUGUUGCAUGUGUUAAACGCGUUUAUCAUAUUUGGCAACGUAUUCGAAUAAGAGACACCCGUGACCAGUGUGAGCCACAUCAAAGAAAGCGAAGAGCGUACGACAUGCUUUAUCGAGAGUUACUGUUUUGAUGUCCCGUUCGAGUAAGUACGACGUGGUGCCGAUAUCCAGCGUCAAAUCAUCUUCGAAGAUGAGAACGAGUUGAUGCAAAAGCACGCUUUUAAGUACUGUGAUACCCAACUCGCUCGCUAAAAGCCUGCACGAGCAGCUUUACAAUAUUUUAUAAA